This 758-nucleotide ribosomal RNA is filed under the name uncultured beta proteobacterium. RNAcentral's name for it is "bacterial SSU rRNA". It matches the Rfam family "Bacterial small subunit ribosomal RNA", at positions 121 to 873 of the family's 1533-position model. Lineage: Bacteria; Pseudomonadati; Pseudomonadota; Betaproteobacteria. The record is from RNAcentral.
GGAACGUGCCUUGUAAUGGGGGAUAACUAGUCGAAAGAUUAGCUAAUACCGCAUACGCCCUGAGGGGGAAAGUAGGGGAUCUUCGGACCUUACGUUAUAAGAACGGCCGAUAUCUGAUUAGCUAGUUGGUGGGGUAAUGGCCUACCAAGGCGACGAUCAGUAGCUGGUCUGAGAGGACGACCAGCCACACUGGAACUGAGACACGGUCCAGACUCCUACGGGAGGCAGCAGUGGGGAAUUUUGGACAAUGGGCGAAAGCCUGAUCCAGCCAUUCCGCGUGAGUGAAGAAGGCCUUCGGGUUGUAAAGCUCUUUCGCAAGGGAAGAAAACUUACAUUCUAAUAAAGUGUGAGGCUGACGGUACCUUGAUAAGAAGCACCGGCUAACUACGUGCCAGCAGCCGCGGUAAUACGUAGGGUGCGAGCGUUAAUCGGAAUUACUGGGCGUAAAGCGUGCGCAGGCGGUUUGGCAAGUCAGAUGUGAAAUCCCCGAGCUCAACUUGGGAACUGCGUUUGAAACUGCCAGACUAGAAUAUGUCAGAGGGGGGUAGAAUUCCACGUGUAGCAGUGAAAUGCGUAGAGAUGUGGAGGAAUACCAAUGGCGAAGGCAGCCCCCUGGGAUAAUAUUGACGCUCAUGCACGAAAGCGUGGGGAGCAAACAGGAUUAGAUACCCUGGUAGUCCACGCCCUAAACGAUGUCUACUAGUUGUUGGUGGAGUAAAAUCCAUGAGUAACGCAGCUAACGCGUGAAGUAGACCGCC